CGUGGGUAACCUGCCCAAGAGAUCGGGAUAACACCUGGAAACAGAUGCUAAUACCGGAUAACAACAGAUGAUGCCUAUCAACUGUUUAAAAGAUGGUUCUGCUAUCACUCUUGGAUGGACCUGCGGUGCAUUAGCUAGUUGGUAGGGUAACGGCCUACCGAGGCGAUGAUGCAUAGCCGAGUUGAGAGACUGAUCGGCCACAUUGGGACUGAGACACGGCCCAAACUCCUACGGGAGGCAGCAGUC
This 246-nucleotide ribosomal RNA is filed under the name uncultured Lactobacillus sp. RNAcentral's name for it is "partial 16S ribosomal RNA". It matches the Rfam family "Bacterial small subunit ribosomal RNA", at positions 116 to 355 of the family's 1533-position model. The record is from RNAcentral. Lineage: Bacteria; Bacillati; Bacillota; Bacilli; Lactobacillales; Lactobacillaceae.